GAUGAACGCUGGCGGCGUGCCUAAUACAUGCAAGUCGAGCGAACAGACGAGGAGCUUUCUCCUCUGACGUUAGCGGCGGACGGGUGAGUAACACGUGGAUAACCUACCUAUAAGACUGGGAUGACUUCGGGAAACCGGAGCUAAUACCAGAUAAUAUAUUGAACCGCAUGGUUCAAUAGUGAAAGACGGUUUUGCUGUCACUUAUAGAUGGAUCCGCGCCGCAUUAGCUAGUUGGUAAGGUAACGGCUUACCAAGGCAACGAUGCGUAGCCGACCUGAGAGGGUGAUCGGCCACACUGGAACUGAGACACGGUCCAGACUCCUACGGGAGGCAGCAGUAGGGAAUCUUCCGCAAUGGGCGAAAGCCUGACGGAGCAACGCCGCGUGAGUGAUGAAGGUCUUCGGAUCGUAAAACUCUGUUAUUAGGGAAGAACAAAUGUGUAAGUAACUAUGCACGUCUUGACGGUACCUAAUCAGAAAGCCACGGCUAACUACGUG
RNAcentral lists this ribosomal RNA (497 nucleotides) under uncultured bacterium. Its description in RNAcentral is "partial 16S ribosomal RNA". It matches the Rfam family "Bacterial small subunit ribosomal RNA", at positions 28 to 507 of the family's 1533-position model. The record is from RNAcentral.